RNAcentral lists this unclassified non-coding RNA (496 nucleotides) under Hevea brasiliensis (rubber tree). The record is from RNAcentral. Lineage: Eukaryota; Viridiplantae; Streptophyta; Magnoliopsida; Malpighiales; Euphorbiaceae.
CCUGGACGCUCUAGAAGAGUGAGUAGACACUGAUUCCGGGUCAAGAUAGUCUCGGUUAGACUUCAAGAUUUGGUAGAACUCCUUCUCGAGUCGUUUCAUAGCAAUUUGCAUAAGAUUUUGAGCUCGGACGAGCUUUUCAGAGGCAGAGUUUUCAGUGACGUAAUAUUGCAUUGCAGACUGUAGUUGUUUGAUAGAGUUGAGGUAUUGCUUGGCUUCUUGGCGAUUGUCAGUGAAAAGAGAAGCGAUGGAGCAGUAGUUGGUAUUGGAAUCAGAAUCCCAUUUGUAAAUAAGUAUAUUGGCAUUGUCUAUGUUCUCAUCCACUAAUGUAUCAGAGAAGGUAUGGCGAUGCGGUUGUGAUCGCAUUGGAGAAGAUGAAGUAGACGGAUUGAAGAAUACCGUCCUCAUACCUUUUCUAGGCAUAUAGAGCUUCAAGAUUAAAGUAAUUUAAUUUGAUGAAUAUUUUAGAGAGGGAGGAGAGAGAGAGAGAGAGAGAGAG